Sapajus apella (tufted capuchin) is the source of this 3416-nucleotide long non-coding RNA. RefSeq lists it as uncharacterized. NCBI's taxonomy places the organism in Eukaryota, Metazoa, Chordata, Mammalia, Primates, Cebidae. The record is from RefSeq and is a predicted model, not a curated record. The transcript has 2 exons.
AGCCUGGGCAACACAGCAAGACCCUGUCUCAGAAAAAAAGAGUUAAUAAAAGUAUACACAUCAAUUUACUUAUUUAUGUGUUCAGAUCAUAGUUGUUGCUGAGAACGUCAAGUUAGGGGUCCUGGAUAACAUCGUCUGAGCACUUUGCUUCUUGGUCUUCAACAGCCCCAUUGCAAAGGGCAGCACUUGAGGAUAUCUCCAUUUGUGUCUCUUACAUGUAGCCCAGAGGGCAGGACCAUUGUACACAUGAGCAAAACUCACCCUUUGCUCUGGUGAAUGUCAGUUUAAACUGCUGGGCUCUUGGGCCUUUGCUCUCCAGUUGUAUUCUGUGGUCAUCUUGAACGUGUCAGCUUUCACACUCUUCUCUACACAUCUCUGGUCCUCAGCUGACCAACUCUCCUGACAUUCCUUCCUGUUGGUGCUGGCUUGCUCUCUGCCUCCAAAGAUAUUUAGAGUUCAGGCACCUGUCCUCCUUGUUGCUACCACCCAGAGAGGCUCACUUCUGAAUUAGCUCUGUUUGUAAGGAAGCACUAUCUAGCCCUUUGGAAGGGGAGCUGCUUAGGCUCUGGUGGCACAGCACCUUAAUGUUUCAUGUUCCCCACAUUCUAGUCUUCCUGUGUGCACAGAUCCUUCCUUAAAGGGACGGGGGAGGCUGAGUGAAGGCAUGUUCAAGGGCAGACUCACAUGGCAUUGGGCACACUGCCACUGCCGUGCAGUCAUCACUGUUAACUCCACCACAGGCUGUCUAGUUCCUUCAUUACUUAUGGAGACCCGCUUUCCCUCCCUCUAGCUUGGCUACUCUCACCAUCAGGUAGGAAUGAAUAUAUUUUAAUUCUAAAUGUAAACCCCAAUAGUUAUUUCCCAGAGGCUUCUGAGCUACACAUAAAGCCAAGAAUGUGACUAGGCUUAUGUUGUGUGGAAUCAUCCAUUCAAGGAAAAUUAAGAGAAACUUUGUCAGGAAGUCUCCUCUAACCGGCACUCAUCUACUACCUUGGGCAGAUUAUUGAACCAUUCUAGGUCUCACGUUCCUCAUCUGGUGAAGAUGAAGUGAAUAAAUAUAGAAAAGCCUUUAGAAUAAUGCCUGGCAUUUUGGCUCUGUUCCAAAUAAGGAGGGGGGUGUAGUCACAUGAGAUGUUGAUAUACACGCACAGCCGCUUCGAUGGAUAGAGAUCCACUUGGCCAAAGCCUUGCAGAAGUGAAACUAAAGUUUGGGUGAAAAUGUUUCCAGAUGCUGCCACUCCUUUCACAUUUAGUUUUUUUUCCUGGAGGCCCUGAGUAUGAGUGCUGCCUACAGAAAGAAUCUGCACUCCUCUUAGCCAGGAGAAAGAAGGCAAGUGACAUUAGGGCAGCAAAGCUUGCUGAGGAGGAGAGAUAGGGAAAAUGUGAGUGCAGACAGCCUAGGACUGCUGUUUGAGAUCUCCAUCUCACCUGGGACCUUAUCUGCAAGGUUGCUUUAUGUGCAUGAACACUAUGCGGUGGGAGUAAUGAGGCCUUUAAAAGGCAGGCUGCCAUCUAUGGAAGACAGUGAAAGAACCCUGUGAGAAAGAAAGUGAACAAGGAGCAUCAUAUGUAACCAAGGAAACAGUGCCGAAUAGCCCCUGCUGGGCCUUACCGAGAGGAAGCUGGCUGGAACCAGAGCAACGGGUAGAAUGGGGAGGUGUUUAUAAAUACAGAUACUCAGCUUUCUCUUUGUUUAUGAACUCUCAGAUGGAAUAAAGAAACUUGGAACCGUGUGUGUGUGUGUGUGUGUGUGUGUGUGUGUGUGUGUGUGUUUGUGUGUGAGACAGACACAGAGAGAGAGGGAAUAUGAAUGAACAAGUUGGGGUGAUCUUUAACAUAUGGCUGUGGGAAAUAGAAAAGUUCUUUUUAAAGUUUCCUUUCUUGUUAAACUGUGCUAACAGCUUUGUUAAGCCCUAACCUAUAUAGCUGUUAAACAUCCCAUGCUUACAGGCAUGUCGUACAUUCUGUGUCCUUGUACUUUAACCAAGAUAUCUCUGCUGGACGUGCUCACAGGCAUGUCCCAGCUCUCCAUGGCUUUUAUCUGUUUAGAAAAAUUUUAAAUUAUUAGUCAAUCAGGUUUUAGUUUAAAUUGUAAGGUCUGGCUCCAGCCAGUGGAGAUCAGACAUAGCAGGAAGGACAACCCCAAAUGCAUCAGGGAUAAAUUUGUGUGUUUUCCUUUGUUCAUUGUACUCUCCUGGCACGAUGGCUAGUGAGGGUACCUUUCCUGCAGUCCAGGAAGUAAAAAUUGCGUUGCUGAAAGAUCCUUUGUCUGAGUGCUAAUUUUUCUUGCAGUACCAAGCAUCUAUUUCCAACAAUGGCUAAGUCUGAUUUAAACCCCAUUCCUGAAUUGCAGAAAUUCCAAAUCCCUCACUAAGAUUUCUAUUAAUUUCUAGGUGGGCCCAUGUCUGCUAGAAUCCCCCAUUGACUCCACAUUCCGAUUCCACUGAGUGCAUUUCAUUUCUAGAUAAUUUCCACACCCUGUUUACCAGCCUGCUGAAGUUAGAAUCUGGGUUUACCUCUUAGCUGCUGUGUGACCUUGGACAAAUCACUUAACCUCUCUGUGCUUCUGGUGCCUCACUCACAAAAUGGAGAAAAUAUAAUUGCUUACCUUAUAGGUUUGCAUUGAGUAUUAUUAAAUAAGAUAGUUACUAUAAAGCAUUUAAAUAUGUUAGUGUAUGUAUGGUGCUUAGAAUUCCACUUGGCAUAUAAUCAACAUUUUUACAUUAUUAUUGAGCUGAUUAUUAUGCAUUAAAACAGAUGUUGAGCUCAGCCUCUUUUCUUUCUUUCCACUCAAAACAGCCCUCUCAAAAGGGUCUAUGUGUGUUUGCGUGUGUGUUUAUGUGUGUGUAGAGAAGACUUUAUUAAAUAUUGGAGUGAUGAAGACAUUUUCAUUUCAUUUGUGCCAACAAUGUGUAAUUUCAGGGUAUAUAGUUAAUAGUUCUUUUCCCAAAAGUUCUUCAGACAUUUCCAGUUUAAACUCACCAUUUUCUCAUUCUUUCUGCAUUCCACAUUUCUAAUCUUUGUGAAUGCAAAGUAAUUUAGCUACUUGUUACUUCACCUUUAGCUCUAUGUUCUCAGGGUCUCGUCUUCCACCCCCAACCUGUUUAUCAAGAAUUGCCUUAAGCGUAGAUAGUUCCUUUGUACAUAUCAUGCAGUAGAUAGAGUUCCCAGUGGUUCUCAUGAAUUGUUUAAUAUCGAAGUAUGUUGAAAGCAAUCUGAUUAUUUUAUCAUUUGAACUUUUCUCUAGUGCAGUUUUCUCUAAAUCCACAUUUGUACACUUUAGGCUGCAAAAGUAAUACCAGAGACUGUGAGCCCCUAGAGAGCAAAGAUCAAAUUACUUACAGUGUUAUACUCACAGCAGUACCCAGUCAGUGGCUCAAAAAUUGAUAUACACUUGUAUGUCACUGUCCCUAUCU